Molecule: non-coding RNA, 9923 nt
Organism: Taeniopygia guttata (zebra finch)
Lineage: Eukaryota; Metazoa; Chordata; Aves; Passeriformes; Estrildidae
Source: RefSeq, a predicted model, not a curated record
UAUCUCUAGUAGCCCUCUUUCCCGUCCCCGAAUUAAAGGAGGAUGCUCACCAACAAACUAAGCUCGUGCCUCUCCUUCACACGGCUCUCACCAUGCUGGAGCACGACCAAGAUACACAAAAUGUCAGGCAUUGACAGAGGGAGGGAUGAGAAAGGGGUUAAAAGGGAAGAACGAACCCCGGCUACGAGCGCUGUGGCUGGCAGGGGCGGCAGAGCGCAGCGAGCAGGGGACGUGCCACAUCGCCCGAGCUCCCAGCCCUGUGACCCCAACAGGAAUGUGCUGCGAAGAUAAAUCAGAAAUGACAGCUGAGGGUUUAUGAACUGAAAAUAACCAUCCUUAGAAGAAAGAAACCAGCAGCGGGAAAUCCCCCAUCUGUUUUGUUUACAUGUGCUUAGCGUGGAUGUAGCAGUGGUUUAUUUCAUAGUGAAGAGACUAUAUGUAAGAGUGAUUUCACUGAUUGUUAUUAUUGUUAUUCGUCAAUCUUGUUUAACAUCCACUACCAUAUUAAGCUCAAUUCUAUAAUUAGAUACUAAUUUUUUGGGGUUUUUUAAAUGCAAACUGGUCUUUUCAGAACAGCUGUUUAAAAAAUGAGGAACUGAGUGGUAUUGAAUGAAAAGAAAUAAAAAAAAUAUCAAAAGAGAUAACAUAUUAAAACAUCAUAAAAUUUCUCAGUAAAUGACAAGGGUUUUCGUGACACUGGUUAGGAAAGGGUUUUCUAGUUUCAGGGUUUGCUUUUGCCAGACUGUUAAAAUGGUUGAUGUACAGAAAAGGAGGAAUGGGGUCAGAGAGUAGGAAUAUAUUAAAGCUUCAAAUUUUUUUCAGUCUUUCCUCUCUGGAGUUCCUUUGUGUAUCUUGCCCAGCCACUCUCAUGACAAGCUGAGAGGAAAAAAUCCCCAAGGGGUUUAAAGUUUUGUAGUUCCCCAUUUCAGGGUGAAAAGCAGCAAGUUUGGUGUCUGGCACAUAGUAGAAACAGCCAUGACCCACAUAAACCUGCCUGUCAUCCGGCUAGGAAUCUUCUUCUUUAUGUGACCUCUGUGCUGAGACUGAGCGUUUCUAGACUGUGUGUUUGGGCUACCUCCAGCCAGAAACCUCAAUACUGCAAGAAGUGUUCUGAAACACCACUGAUUUCACAGCUACCUUAUGCUACUACAUAGUAAGAAAAACCCGUGGGUGAAAUACUGUUAUCUUCAUAGUGGCUGUUCUCUGCUCUACCAUCUGUCAGCAGCAGGAGUGGAUGUACUUUUAAGAUUUCUUGCAGACCUAUAGGGGAAUCCAAGUAAUAAAUUUCAAGUCUAUGUUGAAAGCCAUAAUCCUAAAGGUAAUUAUGAAGGCAUGGUAGCUUUUUCAUGGACCUUUGACUUCUUUCUCUACCUGUCCUGUGUGGAAGCUGGCAGUGAUCAUAACAUGCAUAUAGUAGCAUCAGGUCUGAGACAUCAGAGAAAAAAGAACACACAGGAAAAUGGUGGAAAUAUAAAGUAUGAACACCAAACCUGACCAGCUACCUUUUAUAGCUGCUUUUUAGCUGGGGAUUGCAAUUUCCAGAGUUCUAAUACACUGAAUUUUACAUAUCCAUUUCCAAUCCUACUCUAGAGUUUAUUUUAAAUCCUAGAAUCGUUGGCACUUGACACAGGAAAUGGCAAGAAAGAAACCAUCUCAGAAGCACAUUCUCUUUCAAACACAACUUUUCUUCUCUCCCCAGACCUGACUUCACCUGAGACCAUAUCACUAUAGUAGGUGACAUUUGAAAUGGAGAUUGAAAAGCUGUCCACCAAGGUCACUUCACUUUAUUCAGUUUUCUUCUUUUACCACUGCUGUUUCUCCAUGGGGAAUUUUUUGAUUCCAGUAUUCCAACAUCGCUUCCACUAAUGGGCAUCACUCCAAGCGCACAUUCUCUCAUCUGAAGGGCAACAGGGAAAAAAAAGGAUCUUAUCUCCACAGGUUCUUAUUCUAUUGCAAGGAGGAGAACAGAGAAAUAGUUCACAAGAGCAGAGAAGAUGAAAUGCGCCUGGGCUAAAGCCAGCAGUUUGUGUGGUAGUGUGAGCUGAAGAGUUCCACUGCCUUGUUAAAAACGCGGGGUGCUCAAUUAUCAGCAGGGGAUGCCCUCAGCAACCACAGUGGACAACACAGCUGCACCUGCUGCCCAUCUCUGAAUUUUAGGCUGGAUACUAAGCAGUGGCUGCACACCCCCCACACCUCAGCAUUGCUCCUAUGCAUAAUAAAAAAACAGAGCACAAUGUAAUCUCUCCUGUCUGCUUAUUCUUCAUCAUGUUCUUUACCUAGACUCUUCUUCCCAACACUACCAGCUCCACUUGGGGCUGACACUGCAUGUUCUGUUUGCAGGGUGAUGCGGCAAAGAGGCAUAGGAAGGCAGACUGCCACUGUGGCUUAGAGGAAAAACUGAUCUAUAUGGCCCAUGGAUCAGGGAGAUUUGGAAAUGGCAGCUGUGCUCCUUGGGUUUGCAGAUUUGCAUUAGGUAUAUUAUGUAGGUGUAAGUGUUUUGAAAUUGAUUUUGUUUGGUGCUGCUUUUGUUGGGGUUUUUUUGAGCAUGCAUUUAAGUAGCUAUUAUGUUAUUUAGGGUUUUCAAAUAUUUUCACAUUGAUCUGCCCAUGAAAGGAGGGAUGGCAAAGCUUGGCAGCAGCCCAGAACAGUGCCACAGCAGCAUGGCCACUGAUAAAAAGCUUAUCUGUUGGCUAGCAGAAGACUGUAUCUGUAAUAGAAAUGCAGCUACAUAUUGAAUUUUCUCUGUCAGGCGAGUAAAUCUGCCAUGAAGAAUGUAAAUCACAGCUGAGGACAUCUCCAUACAAUGGAAUUUUAUUCAGAAUGUCUGCUAAGUAUAUGUUUGUUAUAAUGCUUAAAUGGCAAAAAAUGGUGCUUCAUCCUAAAUAUUGCUCAACAAAUACUCACAAUUCUAAGUCUGCUUCAGCCAUACAAGAAUGAAAUUCAAUACAAAGAAAAAUAGUGCUUUAAACAUAUAUGCCAACAAAAAGUGGAGGUUGGCGCACUCAAAUCUCAGUAACAGGCCAGUUUCAAUACUUCUUAACAAAUUCAUAUUUAAAAGAAAGCACAAAGAAAGCACAAAAGGCACUAACCUAUAAUCAGGACUCUUGAAAAACAAGAGCUCAUAUUUCUGUGAUGCUGUAAAAAUACAUCAGCCUGCAAGACUUUGGAAUUACUCCAGGGACAUCUUGGCUUUCCUGCUGUGCCAGGAAUCCUCUCUUUCUUGCUGCUUUUGUGCAGUGGAGUGAGAUACUUGUCCUUCAAUGCUACAGUUCAACUUGCAAGCAGCAUCCUCAGGGGUGCUUGCUCUUUUGAGAGGUGAGAGGACAAGGACACCGGACCCUGAGCAGCUGCGUGUGAGGGACAGCAAGGAAUGGGGCCCUGCUGUGGACGCAUUUCAGAUCACCAAAGAGUUAACAUCCACACAGCGUGAUUGUUAGAGUUCAUGUCACAUCUGCUGCCUUUUUAGAAAGUAACUGUAAACUUCUCCUAGAGAUGAGUUGGUUUCAAUGGCAUUACAGCAGAGACAGGGUUAGGGUUCCUCAUUUGUUCCCUAAGCCAGUUUGAGGAGAGAGGGUUGUAGGAAGCUGUUCUGAGCAUGGGUUUGCAGUCUACCUCAACCCUCUGCACAUGUCCUGACAUGGUUCCCUGCUCCCUCAGCUGUCCCUAUGGUCAUUCUGAUCAUGCCUCUAAAGAAAAGUGUACACAGCACUUUAAGAAAGUCAAGGAUUAUAUAAAAUCCAAACCCAUCCCAAUAUCCUCUUUUGGCAGGAAGGCUGGAAGCAGGAAGGAAAAAGUUGUGGCAUCCCAAGCAUUGGGGCGUGGGAGGGAGUAGACGAGGGACAAACACCCCCACAAAUGAAACAAGGGACAAGUAAUCUCUACAUUGAAGCACCGGUGUUUCCUAAGAGCAAAAGAAGGGCUGAAGGAAAACAUAUUUGGAAAAGAAUCCAGGCUGGGUUAGGCACUUGUAUAUACAGCUGUAAAGUGGAGGUAAAUUGCCACCAUGUGGCAAUCUCUUCUCAUGUAAAGAAAACACUUACACAAAGGGAGUAGGGCAGUUUGGUCCCUGAAAGGGUGGGCAGUGUUCUGUGAACUGGGCUAGGGAACUAAUCCAAGUGUGACUCACUGAGAAAGGCUUCUUCUCAAGAAGGGUGGGCUAAGUAGCUUUUCUCCUUUACUAAAUGUAAGAGAAAACAAAAAGUGCUAUCCUUGUUUAGCAAGAGACAGCUAACGAGGAAAUCUCCCUGAGCAAUGAAGAAUCUAUAAAUACCCUGAGAGAUGGGCUUUGCUCUUCUAUUCUGCAAGUAGCUCAAGUGAGCCCUGAACGUGUAUUUGAAAGAACGAGAGACCUGUCAAACCUGCCUUCACUGUAGGUACUGGGACAAUAUCUACAUGGAGUUCUACAGGGUUUGACCAAAGCCUCCCCUAUGUACUGCAAUGCCAUGCAGGAGCAUCACAAAUGGGGAGCCUUGAAAGCUGCAUUGAGAAAUGAGGGGUAGGAGCCAAGAAAAAUGUAGAUUAUAAGUGUGAGUGGGGCCAGAUUGACAGUUUGCAGAAACAGAGGCUUCCUUGUGCUUCCCCUUCUCUUUUCAGCUUUGUUUCUGAUAAGUAAACAAGAACUCCCACAUUGCUAGGUACGAGAGAAUCAAGACAGGAGAGGCCUCUAAUGUGCACAGGGACUCGGGUCCUGCCAGUUGGGGAUGAGAUGAGCACUGUAAUCCGGCAUAAAUCUGUGUCACCACUGUACAGGAAGGUUCUUUCUGACACCACCCCCAGCUGCCCGUUCUCAUCACCUCCCCUGCACUUACAGCAGCUUUCAGAGAGCCACAAGCAUUAUUCCAGACCAGGACAAUUAGCUUUCAGCAUCAGCAUCUUGAUUCAGAGGUGCCUGUGCCUACACAAGGACAGGAGUGAGGAGGAAUGGCCCUUGCAGCACCACUGAGAUCCAUAAAGCCAUGUCUGUGGUCUGAGACAUCAGCAUCAGUCAAGUGGGGAGGCAAGUCCACUAGAUGCCAAGCUUUUUUCAUCAACACACCUCACCUACAUGAGAUCUAUGCAUCCUUCUCUUCAGCAGCCCAUUGAGCUGCCCAGUAGGAGGGAGCAAACAGACGUCAGCCAAAUCAAUCACACUCACACCAGCAAUGCAUUCUUUAACUUCAUUUAGUAUUACAUUUCCCGAUUUGAAAAACACCUUCAUUCUGCUUUUGUCCUCUCUUUCCCUUUGCUAAAUUUUCCUUUUAUCUAUGACAGCAUCUUUGAACACUCUUAUAUAAGCACAGAGAUUCUGCUUCCCUCUUCCUUAUGUUGCUUUCCCUUGCUACUCUUCACUACUCCUUGAUGCAGAGAAACUCCCACGAUCCUUCACCUUCCCCUCCUGACUCCUUUGCAGCCUUUCUGCCUUUCUCCCACUGCUUGUCUCACAAACAGAGGCCUCCUCCUUCCAAAGCUCUGCUUGUUCCCCACUUCACACCGAAUCCAGCCCUGUCUGGGGGUCAGCCCCAUGGACAUGAAGAACAUGAAUCCUACAAAGAGGUGGGGUUUAUCCCAUCACUCCUCUGUACCGGCUAUGGGCAGAAACCCUUAUUCAAGAGUAGGAAGAUGUGUCUGUCUGUCCCUUGGGCACAAAGGGUUGUCCUUUUCCUGCCCUCACUGCAGAAGGACCAGCCUGCUGAUUGGGCAUGAUGCUGACCAGGAGGUUUUCUUUGUCACGUCACUGUGAUACAAGUGGCAGAGGAUCCUCCCUGGGGAGAGCCCCUUACAUAAGAGAUUUUAUUUGUCAGUGUGCAUUGCCAAAUGCCAGCCCAAAACGGAAGCACAGGAGAGAGGUUUGUGUAAAGAUAAAGAAAGCAGCAUCACUCAACACCUGUGCAGCUCCAGCAAUCUGUGUCAGAGGGAAGCUGUCACCAUUUAGCCUACUGAGAAAUUCUAAUGUAGAAGAAAUGCAAGACCCUCUCUGGUCUGGAAUCAAGAGGUAAUCAAAUCUCAAAAGAGAACUAUGAAUCCCACAGACACACCAGGCAGUCUGGUCCAUCAUAUUCUAAUUCUUAUUUACAUCAAACUGCACCAUUUCCUCCACUGAUUUCAAGUGCUUGAGCUUCUUUUUUAUCAUAGCCUGUACAUAACAUGAAGCAUGCACAGAAUCAAGUAUAAACACCAGCUAGUUCCUCUAUAUGCUUCUGCUAUUGUCCUGUAGAAAUGGCUAAUACACUUUCAGGCCUCCUGUUCAUUCCACAAACUUCAUGAUUUUCCAGUACACAUCACAUGGGAAACCAGAAUUCCAUAAAUUGCACUCCUCAAAAAAAAAAACCCCAAACCAUUACCAAUCUGAUUUCAAUUUUCUUCUUGUACUUGCUUUGAUACCCACUAAGAUAAAUGAAAUGGCAAUAUUUGUGAAAUACCCAAUCUACUGCAUGUGUAUUUAAAAUCAAAUCUGUCAGCAUAUUACCCCAGCUGUAGAGAUUAGUCAGAAUCUCCCUCCUCAACUUUUCCCUCCUAAGUCUCUUGCUGGGCUCUUGUUUCCUAUGAGUUGAUUCCACUUUUAAUUUUAUGUUUCCAUCAAUAGAGAAGAGUAAAACAGCUGGAGGGAACAGAUAAGGGACUUAGUCCACUACCACCAUCAUCCAACUCCAAAUUGGAUUGACUGGCUGAGUGCCCCCAAAUCCUCCAUGGAUACUCAAUUUAAUAGAAAGAAAAAGACUCCCCACACAAAGAAAAAUAUGCAGAAAAUAAUAAGACCACUUUAUGAAACAUAAUAGUUUCAGCAAUGUGCAUAUGAUUAUAUCCCUAAUUCAAAUGAAAUGCAACAGACAAUCCUUUUAUGUUAACCAUGGAAAAAAGAAACACAGCUGAUGAUUUAAUUUGUCCUUUUACUAAAUGAUUUAAUUUUAGCAAGCUGUUAUCCAAUGAAGAACAUUAAAAAGGGCCAUAUCGCAUCAGCCUAACAAUUUCUGGUCCACCUUAUCUGUGACAGCAGCCAAUAAAGGGAACGGGGAAGUGCAAAAAAAAACAGAUGGAAAAAAAUGCUAAGGAGAAUUUGAGGAAGAUGAAAAAUAGGAUAAAGCAGGUGGAGGAACUAAAAUAAUUCCCUUAGUUAGACUGAGGCUUUACUCCCAUGGAUGAGCACACAUGGAUUUCUAGAGAGGCAGCUCCAAGCAGGAUCAGUGCUCACAGGGAGCAGUGCUCUGGGCUGUGCAUGACUGGUCCCUUACCUGAUGGCAGCAUUAGAGAUCAGCUGUCCUGCCUGCACAGACAGAGCCUCAGGGAUUUGGCCAAACAUUAAUUUUUAAUUUGUUUUUCCUUUUAACUUGACAUAGUGCCCCUAAGAUUCAACCAGUUUUAACUCCAAACUGACAUUAUAUAUCUUCAAAGCAUGAGUUGGCAUCUUCUGUAAUUGCUCACUUAAUGGGAAAAUUAGGAUUGUAAUAGUCCUACCAAACUCCUUUGUCUCAAACCAGGCAGAACUCUGCCCUAGUGCUAUUUUGUGCUGGCCCCAUCUCUCCCUCUCACUAGCCUCCUUUAAAUUAUUCCAUUUGGCUUCACGACUUGCCUUCCCUUGAUCUCCUAAUAGGAUGGUGAACCCCUGACCUCUUUCCAGGAACUCUGCUUGAAACCCAACCUUUCCAGACUGCCAAACUUCCAUUUGCUCCUCACUUCUUCCUGCUGUGCCAUCAGUCUCAUCAGCCUCUUUCUAAAAAUUGAGAUUUUGAUUUUCUUUCAUUUUUUUUUUCUGCUAGGAAAACUCAGCGUAGCCUAUUCGCUGCUCAAUCACCACAGUAGUUGCUGAGUAACAAAGAAUCAGUGGAACAUCACAGCAUUUGUAGCGGCUCAUUUAACAGCACCACAAAUGUUUUGUACAAGGAGAGCACCGUGAUUUCUAUUUGUUCCUGAUAUUUGGAAUAUCUCCAGCUCAAAUGCUGCUGCGUUUGGAUUUUUUUUUUUUUUUUUUUUUUCUGAUUUGGUAGAACAGAGUCUCCAUUCAUUAUAUGUGCACAACACAGGUUCCCAAGCAAGAAAUGGAGGGUGGGAUUGAUUCCACGUAGAGACCGUGGCUCGUCCCUCCAUGGGGCAGGUGCCUUUGGCUGCAGGGACCUGCUGCCCACUGCCCUGCUGUGCCCAAGCUGCCCCAGCAGCUAGCAAGGUUACCCCUGACAUCCCCCUUCAAGGUGGGUCAAGCUGGCUCCAGGUGGGAAAUGCUGCCUGCAGGGACUUGGCCGCCUGAAUUACAGCAGCACCCGCAGUGGGGGCUGGAGAGGUACUGCAGAUGUCAGCACUGGAGGAGAAGGGGUGCGAGCAUCAUUCCUUGGGCAAAAGGCCAGGUUGCACAACAGGUCCCCAGCCCCACUCACUGCCCUACCUGCUUCUGGGUGUCAGGCUAUUUCUGGCCUUGCUGGCAGCCCUCUCAGUUCCUACAAUGGCUGCGGGUAGCGAUGUUAGCUGACAUUCAGUUGUAAUUGGCCCUCAUCCCCAAGGACACAGAGCAGAAAUAAGGAAGGCUAUGCUAUAAAUGUACUGAAAUAGGCCACACACCCUUGUCUGGAGGGCCCUUCAUCUCUCCUGCCACCGUCUUGCCCAGGGGACAAAUGAGACUGCAGGUUCUCCGUGGUGCCUGUCCCAGGCACAUGGCCAGGAGCAGCCUUCCCCCUGCACUGGAGAUGGUCCAGCACUGGUCACACUGUGGGCACUGAUCCUCUCUAUGGCCUCUGGUGUCUUGAGGAACAUUCCCCUGGUCCUCCACAUCAUCUCAGUAACUCCCUAAUACCAGCUGGAUCACUUUGGGGAUUGCUGUGCAGGGCAGUGGGUUCGACCAUUUCUUCAGUGGAAGCCAUCAUUACCAAUAUUCUAAUCUGAGGUGCAAGGGCCUGUGACAAACACCCCCUGCUCAGGCAAAAGGCUGGACAUUCUAAGCUUAAAACCGGGUGAUACACAGGUUGGCUUGUUGGUAAUGACAUCAUCAGUGACAUCAUUAUUUGAGACAACAGAGGUCUCAAAAGAGGAGUAGAAUGUUUUAUCAUACAUGUAAAUUUCUUGUGUGGGUAUAUUUACAUAAGAUAUACCUGUUGAUCAUCUCUGAGUAAUUACAGGGGACUUUUCUGUAUUACCAUCACAACCCAGAUAGGGUGUAUGGGAAUUAGGGGUGAAUGAGGUCUGCAGGAAUUCUAGAAGGGGCUUCUGAGGUGACCCCAGUGAGAUAAGAAAGACACUCACCUUCUGCCUGCCUCUUCCUCUUUAAUAUUUAAAAUUUCAAAUAGUUUUACUUAGUCAUUAGUCAGUCCACUAAUAAUAAUUACAAUGACAAUCGCAACAUCACUGUAAGCCAUAAACAGUGGGUUUAUGAUGUUCUAAGACACUCCAUUAGUUGAAUGGUAUUAUAAAAAACGUUCAAAUUUUUUCUGCAUUUUUUAAAAUUGUACAUGUCUCUGUAAAAAGUAAAGACAGUAUGCUUUGAAUCUGUAAUAUAAAAAAAACAGCUGCCUUGACCUUCCAGCAGCACAAAUACAGCACAACAAACUGUAUACAUAUACACCCCAACCUCAGUCUGCAAAGCUGUUAACAAAUACCUAUUUUACAUUUAGUCACUAACUGCUGUUCAAGGUUUCUCUCUAGAUGCCCAGGGACAGGCUAAACAUCACUUUGAUUACAGAGUGGUGCAUAUCCCCGUAUUUUGAGCUAGCAAAAGUAGUUCCUCUGAUAGCUAAAGAAACAGCCAGUGGUGAUUAAAACAAGAAAAUGUCCUGGGGAAGUGUUUGAAGUGAACUGCAGGCCCUGAUCAAAGCACAGGUAUUGUAAGCACACAAGGCUAGCAGGAAGAAAUCCUGUGUUUUAUUAGACCAGCACACACUACUAGAGAAAAUGGGAAACUUUUCAUACAAGAGCCUUUCUUCAGCUCUGUCAUUUGGUGUAAUAAAAGGUGUUGUGUUUUCCUA